This 271-nucleotide RNase P RNA is filed under the name Salmo trutta (river trout). Its description in RNAcentral is "Nuclear RNase P (ENSSTUG00000006876.1)". It matches the Rfam family "Nuclear RNase P", at positions 1 to 209 of the family's 301-position model. Rfam says of the family: Ribonuclease P (RNase P) is a ubiquitous endoribonuclease, found in archaea, bacteria and eukarya as well as chloroplasts and mitochondria. Its best characterised activity is the generation of mature 5'-ends of tRNAs by cleaving the 5'-leader elements of precursor-tRNAs. Lineage: Eukaryota; Metazoa; Chordata; Actinopteri; Salmoniformes; Salmonidae. The record is from Rfam by way of RNAcentral.
GUAGGCUCAUUGUAGAUGUCACAUGCAGAGUGCUAGUCACUCAACUAAUCACAUUGGGGAAGAUCUGAGGUUGGAGCCAAUCACUGCCCUAGCAGGGCAUCACCUGAUCAGGGAGUUAUCGGAACUUCCUAAUUCACUUGAAUGGCCCUCCAAGACGGAAUGGGAAAUGUUGUUGACGUAACAGAUGUAUAAUCGUACUCUCCUUGCGUUGUGUUUUGUCCUAAUAAAUCACACCAGCCAGUGGACCCAGUUGAGUUUCAUUUAUUCCUGU